AGGAUGAACGCUGGCGGCGUGCCUAAUACAUGCAAGUCGAGCGGUAAGGUUCUCACUCUGUAUUUAACGAGUUUGAAUAUAGUGUGAGAAUACACGAGCGGCGGACGGCUGAGUAACACGUAGGAACGUACCCCAAAGUGAGGGAUAAGCACCGGAAACGGUGUCUAAUACCGCAUGUGCUCUUCGGAGUAAAGCUACGGCGCUUUGGGAACGGCCUGCGCAUGAUUAGCUUGUUGGUGAGGUAAUAGCUCACCAAGGCGACGAUCAUUAGCUGGUCUGAGAGGAUGAUCAGCCAGACUGGGACUGAGAACGGCCCAGACUCCUACGGGAGGCAGCAGUAGGGAAUUUCCACAAUGGGCGAAAGCCUGAUGGAGCAACGCCGCGUGCAGGACGAAGGCUUUCGGGUCGUAAACUGCUUUUAUCUGUGACGAUUAUGACGGUAGCAGAUGAAUAAGGAUCGGCUAACUCCGUGCCAGCAG
RNAcentral lists this ribosomal RNA (479 nucleotides) under uncultured bacterium. Its description in RNAcentral is "SSU rRNA". It matches the Rfam family "Bacterial small subunit ribosomal RNA", at positions 26 to 514 of the family's 1533-position model. The record is from RNAcentral.